UGAACGCGAAGAACCUUACCAGGUCUUGACAUCCUCUGACACUCCUAGAGAUAGGACGUUCCCCUUCGGGGGACAGAGUGACAGGUGGUGCAUAGAUAUAGUCAGCUCGUGUCGUGAGAUGUUGGGUUAAGUCCCGCAACGAGCGCAACCCUUGAUCUUAGUUGCCAGCAUUUAGUUGGGCACUCUAAGGUGACUGCCGGUGACAAACCGGAGGAAGGUGGGGAUGACGUCAAAUCAUCAUGCCCCUUAUGACCUGGGCUACACACGUGCUACAAUGGAUGGUACAAAGGGCAGCAAAGCGGUGACGCCUAGCAAAUCCCAUAAAACCAUUCUCAGUUCGGAUUAGCGGCUGCACUCGCCUACAUGAAGCUGGAAUCGCUAGUAAUCGCUUAUCAGCAUGCCGCGGUGAAUACGUUCCCGGGUCUUGUACACACGCAC
This 438-nucleotide ribosomal RNA is filed under the name bacterium CPTAC13D. Its description in RNAcentral is "bacterial SSU rRNA". It matches the Rfam family "Bacterial small subunit ribosomal RNA", at positions 956 to 1395 of the family's 1533-position model. The record is from RNAcentral.